Long non-coding RNA from Aphis gossypii (cotton aphid), 880 nucleotides. RefSeq lists it as uncharacterized. NCBI's taxonomy places the organism in Eukaryota, Metazoa, Arthropoda, Insecta, Hemiptera, Aphididae. The transcript has 3 exons. The record is from RefSeq and is a predicted model, not a curated record.
ACAGAGCAGUCAGUUAGUGCAUAAUACUGAUAGUUAAAUAAUUUUAAAUACAUUUUUUAAUUUAAUAAAAUCUUAUAAAAUGCAUCGGUGUUCACGAUCAGAAAUUGGGUCAUUGUCUGAAAAUGAUGACAAAGAAGUGGUAUUUGAAAAGUACAUAAAAUAUAAACAGAUGAGCAAAGAUUUAAUUACAGAAAAUGAAGAACUAAAACAAGUAAUUAUCUUUCUAUUAAAAAAUACAAUUUUUUAUUUUAGUUACAUUUAAUUACUAGUUAGUAGAUAAUAAUACUAACAAAUAUAAAAAAGCUACAACAUACAAUAUUAAAAACACAUUAUCUUUUAUUAAUUUCUAGAAAAAUACAACUCUAGACCGGCAAUUAAAUUUGGAGGUUCUCAAAGUUGAAGAUUUGGAGCUAGACAAUAAAGAGUUGGCAGAGAAGGCUCAAAAUCUCGAGCGCAUAAUAGUAACUUGAAAAAUUAACUUUAACCCACUAUAAUUAUUUAAUAUUUUAAUGUACAUACAUUAAAUACUAUAUUAAUUUAAAAUCAAGUAUAGGAAACCCAAGAAAAAGAAUUUCAAGUGAAGUUAACAGUAUCACAGCAAACGACAAUAGGAUUGGAAGAAGAAGUUGUGCUGUUAAAAAGUCGUAUAGAAAAGUUGAAUGAGGAAUUGAUACUAAGGCAGCAAGACGCUUCAAAAUACAUAGAAAAAUUUGAACUACAAUUAUCCAAAUUAAAACUGGAAGACGAUGUUUUUGUGAAAACGUGUAAUUCAUGGUGGUGCCCUAAACACAGCAGCUUGAAGCAAGAUUUGCCUUUUUUAGUUCCAGCAACUUUGGAGGAAAAACAGGCGUUGCGACUGGCAGUUACCUGACAAAAGUAU